UUUUUUUUUUUUUUUUUUUUUUUUUUUUAACUUGAGCAAUAGGACAAAUAGUAAUGCCAUUUGCUGAGAUAGAGCCUGGGGGCUGAGGUGGGGGGUGGUCAGGAGGAGAUUUUGGUGGAGGAAAAAUGUCCAGUUCUACCUUAAACAUGUUAAACUGGAGAUGCCUAUCAGAUUUCCAAAUGGAGCUAAUGAGUAAACAACUGAAAUACGAAUCUGAAGUUCAUAGGAAACAAUAUGUGGUGUAAAUUGGGGAGGUAUUAAGGUAUAAAUGGCAUCAAUAGCCACUGGAUGGGGAGCACUCACUUAGUUAAUGUGGAAGAAAAGAGAAGCAGACUAGAGACUAAGCCCUCUAAUCCUGAGACAUUCCAACUAGUAGAGGUCAGAGAGAAAGAAAAUCCAACAAGAUUUAUUUAAAAGGAGCAACAGGAGUUCCCGCUGUGGUGCAACUGGAUUGCUGGUGUCUUGAGAGCACUGGGAGGAAGGUUUAAUCCCCUUCCAGACACAGGGGGUUAAGGAUCCAGUAUUGCCACAGCUGCAGCUUAGGUGGCAACUGUGGUUUGGAUCUGAUCCCUGGCCCGGGAACUCCAAAUGCCGGGAGGUGGCCAAAAAAUAAAAAAAGUAAUAAAAGGAGCAACAAAGAAAUAGAAUUUAAAAGCAAGCAAACAAAAAGGGAUCUUAGAGAACAAAAUUUUCAAACAUUUUAAGAAGGGCACCAUAGGAGUUCCCGUCAUGGCUUGGCAGUAAUGAAUCCGACUAACAUCCAUGAGGAUGGGGGUUCAAUCCCUGGCCUUCCUUGGUGGGUUAAGGAUCCAGCAUUGCCAUGAGCUGCAGUGUAGGUCACAGACGAGGCUUGGAUCCCACGCUGCUGUGGCUGUGGCUUAGGCUGGCAGCUGCAGCUCUGACUGGCCCCCUAGCCUGUGAACUUCAAUAUGCCCCGGGUGCGGCCCUAAAAAAGACAGAAAAAAAAAAGGGCACUAUAAACUGUCAUUCCUGUUUAAGAGUUUGAGGAUAAGAUGCCUGAAAAUAGACCACUGGAUUUUGAAACAUGGAGGUAAUUUGAGACCUUGACAAGAGUGACUUUACAGAGGAGCUAUGUAGAUAAAAGCCUUCCCAUCUGUGGUCCGGCAUGUGCAGCAUAUGGAGGUUCCCCGGCUAGGGGUCUAAUCGGAGCUGUAGCCGCCGGCCUACACUAGAGCCAUAGCAACGCGGGAUCCGAGCCGCAUCUGGGACCUACACCACAGCUCACGGCAACGCCAGAUCGUUAAUGCACUGAGCGAGGCCAGGGAUCGAACCUGCAACCUCAUGGUUCCUAGUCAGAUUCGUUAACCACUGAGCCACGACGAGAACCCCGAGCUUCUCUCCUUCGUUCUACAUGUUCUUCCAAAGUGAUCUUAUCCAUUCUCAUAGUCUAAACUUCCAUCCACAUAAUGAUGAUUCCCAAGUCUUUAUUUCCAAACCAGGCUUCUCCUUCAAGCUUUAGACUGACAUACCUGGUAGCCAAUGGCACAUUUACUUAUUUAUUUGGCUGCCCUCACAGCAUAUGGAAGUUCCCAGGUGUGGCCAUAAAAAGAAAAGAAAAAGAAACCCAGUUCUUUUAAGUUAUCACCCCCCAUCUUCCCAUCCCUAUCCAGCUCUAAGAAAUUACUAAUAUACUUUGUCUCUGCAGAUUUCCCUAUUCUGGACUUUGGUAGGAAUAGAAUCAUACAGUAUGUGGCCUUUCAUGACUGGCUUAUUUCACUUAGCAUGCUUUCAAAGUUCAUCCGUUUAUCAGUACUUCAGCAGGUGUCAGUACUUUAUUCUUUUUUACAGCCAAAUAUUUAAAUUCCAUUGUAUGGACAUACAAAUGGGUUUGUCCAUUCAUCUGUUGAUGGACAUUAGGGUUGUUUCUACCUUUUGGCUAUGAUAAAUAAUGCUGCUAUAAACAUUUGUGUACAAGUUUGUGUGUGGACAUGUUUCAUUUCAUUUCUCUUGGGUAUACAACUGUGAAUGAAACUGCUGGGUCAUACAGUAAAGUCUACAUUUAACCAUUUGAGAAACUGGCAGACUACCUUGCUUUUCUUCUUCUUCUUUUUUUUUUUUUUUUUUUUUUUUUUUUUUUUUUGGUGUGUGUGUGUGUCUUUUUGGGGCUGCACCUCUGGCAUAUGGAAGUUCCUAGGCUAGGGGGUUGAACUGGAGCUACAGCUGCCGGCCACAGCCACAGCAACGCAGGAUCCCAGCCACGUCUAUGACCUAGACUGCAGGGAUCCUUAACCCACUGGGUAGGGCCAGGGAUUGAACUCCUGUCCUCGUGGAUAUUAGUCGGGUUUGUUACCACUGAGCCAUGAAGGGCACUCCAUGACAGACUGCUUUUUGAAGCAGUUGUACCAUUUUACAUUCACAUUAGCAGUAUAACAGUCCCAGUUUCUC
RNAcentral lists this long non-coding RNA (2406 nucleotides) under Sus scrofa (pig). RNAcentral describes it as "lncRNA (ENSSSCG00005011101.1)". Lineage: Eukaryota; Metazoa; Chordata; Mammalia; Artiodactyla; Suidae. The record is from RNAcentral.